UGUGAUCCUCCCUAGUUUACCAAGCCAGAAUUAUUUAUAACGUAGUUCUUGGAAUAAACAUUUCUUUUUUAUUUUAUGAAUAAACCUAAUAGAUUAGCAUAUGGGUUAAAUUAGUGCCUGUUAACCAAAGAAGAAAAAUAGUAACAUAUAUUUAGUCCUAUAUAUUUGGGUUUCCAAAUACUAAACCCAUUUUCAUUAAAGUAAAUUGUGUUUGAGGUCCAGCCCCAACCAAGAACCAAUAGGUUUAAUUACAUUACAUGGUGAUGUUUUUGUUUCUUCAAACAAAUGGAAGAUUAUGUAGAACCCUAUACAGGUUUACUGGUUUAAAAUAGGAAUGCACUUCUGUGAAAUUGAGAUAAGCAUAUUGCACAAUGAGCAACAGAAUUUGUUGAAAAGCUUCAAUCGAGCAGCUCUAUCUCUGUCACCUAUCUGGAGUCAGCCUCUGUGUCCAAUCUGCACUCACAGCCAUGAGUGUGCAGCUGAACAUGGUUGAAAACUUUAGACCUUUCACCAACUGCCCCAAUAAAACGGAGGCAUCUCUCACUUAGCUUUAUUGAACUCCACGUGAAUGCUCAAUAAGAGCUUAAAGUCUUUCUCCCCAUACAAGGUAGUUGUUUUGUGGUCUAGGAUGACCUCCUCACCCCACAUCCCCGUGUAUCCAAACUUCAGGGCCCAAGUCAAAUGCUAUUUAUUUGUGAAAUUCUUUAUAAUUCCAAGAAAGCUUGCAUGGGUGGGCACUCAUACACUAUCAGGGUUGUAGGGCUUCUCAGUGCAUUUGAUGAUGCCCCUUACUCUCUCUAAAAACAAAGUUCACCAGAUAAAAUGCCAAAGUCACAAAUGUCCCCUGACGUUGUAAUAACCUACCCUGGGCUAGCAUCACUGACUCCAACUUUGCAGUAAUCUCCAACCUGGCUUCCCCCUUCCUACCACAGCCCCUCUGAGUGCAUAACUGGGUCAUGCUGCACUUAGAAGCAUUGAAGGUACUGUUCUUAACACUUGUAACCAUUGUAACCGCAUCCUGCUUGGCAUACCUCCCCACUGCUAUUGUAAGAAAAAAGUUUCCCUUUGAUCACUGUGUAGAAGGAGCCUGAUCGACCCCGCUUCUUGGUAAUUGUAUAGAAACCACCUGUGCCCGCAGCCCCUUCUUGUAACUUGCUUUUCUGCUUCUGUAAAAAUCCGCUUCAGCUGGGUACUCCCCGCCCCUACCUAAAUCCAGGUAUAAAAGCUAAUCAGGCCCCUUCCUCGGGGCCGAGAGAAUUUUGAGCAUUAGCCAUCCCUCGGUGGCUGGCAAAUCAAUACAGGACUCUUAAUUUGGAACUUCAGAGCGUGGCGCGUUCCUUCUAACUCGCUCAGUUACAACAUUUGGAAGCUCCAGCGAGAUAUUCACCACCAGGUGUAGACGGGGCUCAUUCCAGGGCCACAUAAACCACCCCUUACCGGAGGAGAAUGGAUCGACUCCCGGCCCGCGCUCCACCAAAUUAUUCUUCAGAGUCCCUGGUCCUGCUCCGUGGAGAAGUGAGUGACACUGGCUGGCUUUGAGGAACACAAUGACUAUUAGUGCAGUCUGAUGUGGCUGCAUGUAUGCCGACAUUACCAGUUUUACCCACCAUGGCUUUACACCAACAUCAGCACAGUGGAAAAGUUUUUAACAGAUGUUGUCAGAAGUGGGACCUGAAGAAAAGCUUCUAAUUACCCCAUGAACACUGAACGCAUGCAAGGUACCUGCAGGACCCACUUGAAUCCACUGAUCUCUCAGAGCAUCUGGGGAUAAUGGGAAAAAAGAUCAAGCAAUCCAGAAGAACCAUUCCAAGGUGGAUCCAAGUAGUGCAAAAGGUGGACCGUAGUGGAUACUGUGGUGUGCUGCCCAGAUCUUCUCUUCAGGAAUGAGGCAACUAUUCUGCCAUCUGCUGGUAUUACUGGUGGCUGGUAACUGUUAGCUUAGUUCUUUUUUGGGAAUUCUCCAUGGCCACAGAGAGCUGUCUUGGCUAAGUUCAUGCUCUCUCUCGUAAGGCAGCCUGUACUGAAUGACUGGUCAUGAUAGCAAAAAGGCCCCACUGCUUUAAGGCAGGACAAACCUAAAAGUCAUGUCAGCUUCAUUCCUCUCUUUGCUAAAGGAAGCAUUUGCUACAGUUCAAACACAAUUAUUUAUCUGCCAAAUUCUACUUCCUUUAUCCUCUCACAGAUACUGAUCUUGAAAGCACUCCUUAAAAAAUUGCCUGCAUACAAAUCUGUGCCUCUCUAUCUUUUCCUGAGAAACCAUAAGACUCUGCCCAUAGGGAAGGACACAGUAUAGUUACCUUAGGAGAUGUUUCUCAUGAUCAAAUUUAUAAGAGUGCAAAUAAUAAUGAAAAGAAGUGACUAUACUACAUGUAAUUUUUCCUGGCAUUUCACUUAGAAGUCUGGAUUGUGAGAUAAAACAGUAGUUAGAAGAAAUUCUGAAAAUGCCUUUGCAAAAAUUAUUAAUGGGGGAUCUGAUCUAGCCAACCCCUCUUCUUGCCUUUAGCUUUCAGGCUGCCUUAAUUCUUCCUGGGCUUAGACCAGCUAACUUUGGAAAAUAGGUUAUAUUAAUAGUUUAGAUGAUAACAGGCCUUCCCAAAAGCUCAACCGCCUUUGUAAAGGUAAUGAGAGACACCAGGCAAGAGGGAGGAGAGGAGCCUGAAUUCUGGUAAGGUGUAGACAUAAAUGAUUGCCAGCCAUGCCUGUAGAUAACAUCACUAUUGUAUAUUGGCUUUUUGAGAUUUUGAGGUUUUUUGCAUGUCUGACAUCCAUGGCUCCACCUGGACCUGACAACCUCUGCCCUUAAGGCCCUAAUCAGAAGCAAGUGAGCUCAAGAGGACAGGUUUGACCCCCCGUGAUUUUAUCUCUGCCCCAACCAAUCAGUAGCAGGCACCCAUUUCUAGCCACCUACAUCCCUUCCAACAAACUGCCUUUGAAAAAUCCCAAGCCUACAAGCCUUCAGAGAGACAGGUUUGAGUAAUAACUCUUCCCUGCAUGACAGGGCCAGCUUCAUAUCAAUUAAACUCUUUCUUUACUGCAAUGCUGUGGUCUUUAUUUGUGCAGUGGGCAAAGAGAACCCAUUGGGUGGUUACAAUUCUAGGAAUGUUACAGGUACAAUGAGUAUGCAUAUUUUAAAAUGAAAAUGUCAAACAGACUUGAAUAUUAGUCUUAUUUACAUACAGAAGAAGGAAUGUCUGAGAAAUUUUUAAAAAACAGAGAAAUACACCUGCCAUUCUCCUUACAGCUCAGGUAAAUUCCAGUUUAUUAGUAUUACUUGGGCAUAGUGCAAAUGUCUGAUUCAGUUUGGCAUAACAAACCUGGCUGAUACUGACUCUGUCCUUUAAAACAUAACCAUAAAAUUGAUAUUUUGAUCCUGAAUUUCCUUUAAUGUGUUUAAGGUACAGUUUUAUGAACUGGCUGACAGUGUGGUAAUGAGAAGUGUCCAAUAAUCAUUAUGUUAUUAUUGCUCAUCUUGAAAGCAAUGAAGUGGUGUAAUCAAUAAAAUUGUAUCCUCACUUAGCUUACAGCAGUGAUGUACUAGUAAGGUUAUAGUUUAAUUCCUCUUCAGAAUGAAGAUGAAGAAAGUAGAAAUACAAAUACUGUAUGAAAAAUGACUAAACCUGAAAUAAAGUCAUGUUUACCAGGAAUACCCCAAAUUCAUCUGAGUUGAAGCUAAGAAUUAAUUUACCUGCUUUGGAAAAAACAAAGGGGAUUGCUGUGUGGCAGCCACAGCUGUUGAAAAGUACUUUGUUUCUUUGAAAAUGAUGAAGAAUUCUAUAGGUGUCUUAACUAGGGGUUUUCAGUCUGGGAAUCUGAACUGUAGGCAAAACUUCGUGUGCACAUUUCUGGGGAGAGGGUAUAUGGCUGUAACUGCCAACGGGUUCACCUUGCCCACUGCCUAGACAGAGCCAAUUUAUCAAGACUAGGGGAACUGCAAUGGAGAAAAAGUAAUUCACAGAGUUGGCUUUGUGGAAGACUGGAGUUUCACUGUCCCCUUGAGCAUUUGGGGUUGGAGUUUUUAAGGAUAAUUUUGAGGAGGGGGAAAAUUUUGGAAAAUGGGGAGUGCUAAUUGGUUGGGUUGGAGAUUGAAUCAUUGGGGGUUAAACUGAGGUUUUCUUGCUGUCUUCUGUUUCUGGAUGGGAUUGCUCAACUGGUUGAGCCAGAUUACUAGUCUGGGUGAUGCCAGCUGGUGCACUGAGUGCAGGGUCUGCAAAAUAUCUCAAGCACUGACCUUAGGUUUUACAAUAGUGAUGUUAUUCCCAGGAGCAAUUUGGGGAGGUUCAGACUCUUGCAGCAGAGGCUGCAAGGUCCCUAAACCAUAAUCUCUAAUCUUGUAACUAGUAUGUUAAUCCUACAAAGGCAGACUGUUUCCCAGGCAAGAGGUGGUUUUGGGGGGCUGCGGGGGAGAGGAUGUUAACUCUGAAACAAAAUUUUCGGAGUUAAACUAUGAACUAAAUUCCUUCCCAAAGUUAAUUUGGCCUACUGACAGGAAUGAACAAGGACAUCUUAAAGGUUAGAAACACGAUGGAGUCAGUUCUGAUCUCUUCCACUGACAUAAUUUCCUCAGUUUAAUUUUUGCUAAAGUGGUUUCAUGGCAUUUACCAGAUUAUAAGUGGGACCAUGUCCUUUGAAAUAUUAACAACCACUUUCCUAAAUACUUCCUAACAUCUUUUCUUAUACUAAUGUAAACAGCUUAGGGGUGAGGCUUUUUGUUUGCUUAACAGCCUUGCUGAAGUAUAACUGACGUACUUCAAACUGCAUGUUUUUCAAGUGUGAGUUUGAACAUGUGUACACACUUGUGAAACCACCGCCACAAUUAAGAUAAUGAGCAGGUCCAUCAGUUUUCCUGUGUCCAACUAUAAUUCCUCCCACCUUCCUCUUUCUGAUCCUCUGCUUUCUCAAGGAAACGACUGAUUUGUUUUCUGUCACUAUAGAUUAAUUUGCACUUUCUAAAUGUUAUACAAGCAGAAUCAUCUAGUACCUACUCAUUUUAUCUAGCUCCUCUCACAUAUCAUAAUUAUUUUACUUGUCAAAAGAAUGAAUUAUUGAUCAAUAAAAAAUACAAUCAUAAUCCAUGAUGGAUCAAUAAAUCAUUGAUCAAUGAAUCAAUUAUUCCUUUUUAUUGCUAAGUAGUAUUCUAUUGUAUGCUAUACCAGUUUGUUUAUAUAUUCACCUCAUUAUGAGUAUUUGAGUGUUUCUGAGUUCUUCUGUUACAAACAAAGCUGUUAUUAACAUUCAUGUAUACAUACUCUGCAUAGAUACACAUUCUCUUUUCGCUUGGGUAGAUACCCAGGAGUGGAAUGGCUGGAUCACAUAAUAGAAAUAUUUUUAAUUUUUUAAGAAACUGCCAACAUGUUUUCCAGGGUGACUAUACCAUUUUUACAUUCCCACCAGCAGCAUAUGAGAGUCUAUAUAUUGGAACUUACACACUUGCUAACACUUAGUGUGGUCAGUCUUUAAUUUUAGCCAUUCUAAUAACUCUGUUGUGGCAUCCUACAGUAGCUUUACUUUGCGUUUCUCUAAAAGAGCAUCUUUCCAUGUGCAUAUUUGGUGAAGUCUUUUUAGGGCUAUCUUCUGACAAUAUAAGCAAGCAUUUCCAUAAAUACAAGUAUGUUUUUGCUAAGUUAGGUAGAAGGCUCUUUCUAAAAAGAAACAGAAGUCUUUAUUAGGGAAACAUAAGUGUUUCUUAAUACGAGAGGUAAAACGUUCUCAGAGUGCCUAUCAGGCAUUCUUGUAGGUCAUCUAGUAGAUGAAUAAAACAUAUACAUAGAAGCAUCAGGCAUAGCUCAAGCAGCAUCAUUCUGCAUCUUGGAAAGUGUGCUAGAGCUUCCUGUGCAGUUCAAAAACUUCCACUUUCUUCUACGGACUUUGUGUAGGUCAUGAGUUUGAAUAUAAUUAAACAAAGGAAAUGAGAAGGAAAUAAUCACAUCACGGAGGGAAGAAAUUAUAUGACACAGGGAAUCCAUCCGACUUUGGUUUCUAGAGGCACAAAGCAAAGUCUUCCCAGCCCUUUUCUGUCUACAGCAAGAAGGUCUUAUUUACCAUACUACAUGUCUGGAUGCCAAGAGAAGAGUCUUACAUCCAGGAGCACAUUCUGGGAAUAUUAACAAGACGACAUGCAUAUAAAGCAAAAUAAUCUAGGAAUCUAAUGACAAUCUCACAACCACUGUUGGGGGAAGGCUCACAUGCAGCUAGGACUACAAAUUAAAACAGCAGCCUAAUGUUCUGCAAUACAGUCUAUGUAUAAGACCAGAAAUAAUUCGUGUCUCCUUUAAUGCACAUAAUCACUUGAUUAAAACACAAACACUUAUGGAGAUAAGCUUCAAGCUAUCUUUAUGAUCUUGUCAUAUGAAACAUGAAUUCCAGAAAAGUUCUAAUCAGUCUGAAGAACUAUGCCAAAGGAAAAGAAAAAGCAAAAUGUAACUAACCAGAAUCAACUUUUUCAUAUGGUCACUCUCACUUUACCUUGAUCCAUUUUAUAGAGAGGUGCUUUGAGAGUCACCUAUUAAUAGGACAUACACAGCUUGAGAUUUAACCUAGCAGCUUCUGGAUUGGGAAAGCUUUGGAAAUGUUAAAAUUAAUAAGACAGUAAAUCUACUGAUAUGAGGAAUGCUACCUAAAUUAUGGGCCAAGGCAGCCAACUGAGGCAGAGCCAUCUGGCAUUCGCACAAAGCCCAGGGAAACCUCAAGUUGAGCCCAGCACAUGGUGGCAGCUGUCCAAGCAGAAGAGCUCUCACACAUGUGGCCAGUCAUGUGGAGGAGGAAGGAGCCAAGCCUUUGUUUAUAUUAUGUGGCACGGCUCUGGAGAAGGAUAUCUAUCUACUUUAUCAUUUUCUUUUUCUUUUCUUUUUUAAUGUGUAGUAACUUCCAAAGCCUUUAAAGUAAAGGCUUAACUGCCAGUAAAAGGUACAGGGUAAGACAGAAGAAUUCACUUACUGAAUGAUAAGAAAUCAAAUCAAUUCAAGGAGGUGAACUAAAACCUCACUCUAGGUUAGGCCACAGACUAAAAGAAAAAAAAAUGAAGGACCUGAAAUGGAAUCCUGUUUAUAAUAUUUAAUAUGAGACUUUAGAAAAUCACCUUCUUUGUGCCUUAGACCAGUGAAAACUCAAAGUAGCCAGUUGCCAAAAUAUUCGUUGCACGUCCACGUGAGGUAUGGAGUGUGCACCAGAAUGUAUGUCAACCACUGCUUCCUUCAUUGAGAAAGUCUUGCUACCAAGAAGAAAAGUCACCUGAACUGUACAAUGUGCUUAAUAAUGUGGUUGGCAGUAUGGCUCAAGCCAGUGCAUGGACCACAUUAUAAGUGGCACUGCUUUAGACUUUUCCCCAAAUAAUAUUAUCCUGCUCCUCCUCCUCCUACCAUUCUUGAUGGAUUGGUUUGGAUCAAGUAUAAGAAAACUGGCUGAGUGUUUUAUAUAGUUUCUCUAAGAAGGUAAAAUAUUUAAAGGGACUUUUUUACAGAAACUUCACAAUCAGUGUUGAAGAAGAGAAGAAUUCUAGGAAUGCGAAAAAAACUCAUGAAAUACAAAAAAAAUCAAAUGCUUCAUAAAAAAGUUUCUUGUACCAGUGUCAUAUUCAAUUUAACAUUUGUUUUGUAUUUUAAAUUUUUAAACAAGUUAAUUAUUAAUGGCUGCAAGAAAAUAAGCUGGGAUGGGUUUGGCAGAAUUUUACUUCUUACCUCCAGCUUUAACUCUUAUUUUGCUGAGCAAAGGUCUCAUUUUAACACAUGAUUAAAUCUGAAAGAUCACCCCAAUAACUUCCUCCCUCCACCACCCCUCCCACAGCCACUGCCAUCAUCCUGCUUUUCAGACCCACGGUAAGUCACACCUCUCCUUGAAAGACAACAUACAGAGAUCUUGCAGAUAAUAUAAGGGGUGUCAUGGGUAGCUAGUUAGCUUUUCCUGGUUAGGGUGGUAGUGGGAGAAAUAUUCAGUGCUGAUGUCCUUGCCAGAAAGAAGUACAUGGGUUACAUGCCUUUGUGGAGAAAAAAAUUCAGCACUAAAUUUUUUUAUUAGAAUAUAAAAAUAUUCUAAUAAAAAAUUAGAAUUUUUCUAAUUCUAAUUUCUUCUGUACUGGCUAGUUGAACUGAGACUCACUAGGCGACCUGCAAGAUACAGCUGGUGGAGUCAUUGUGAAAUGAAAGGGUAAUGAAGAAGGAAGAGCUAUUAUUGCACAGAAGAUAAACAACACUGGAAAAAGCCUUUCUUCAGGGGAGGAACUUCUGAAUUGAUUUGUGUUUGUGUACUUGUGUGUUGCACAUAACACUGCAUGAAUAAAAUUAGCAGUGGAAAAGCA
This is a long non-coding RNA of Cebus imitator (Panamanian white-faced capuchin), 8290 nucleotides long. RefSeq lists it as uncharacterized. Lineage: Eukaryota; Metazoa; Chordata; Mammalia; Primates; Cebidae. The transcript is spliced from 5 exons. The record is from RefSeq and is a predicted model, not a curated record.